UACGUAGGGGGCAAGCGUUGUCCGGAUUUAUUGGGCGUAAAGAGCGUGUAGGCGGCCAGGCAGGUCCGCUGUGAAAACUCGAGGCUCAACCUCGAGAGGUCGGUGGAAACCGUUUGGCUAGAGUCCGGAAGAGGAGAGUGGAAUUCCUGGUGUAGCGGUGAAAUGCGCAGAUAUCAGGAAGAACACCCGUGGCGAAAGCGGCUCUCUGGGACGGUACUGACGCUGAGACGCGAAAGCGUGGGGAGCGAACAGG
This 253-nucleotide ribosomal RNA is filed under the name uncultured bacterium. Its description in RNAcentral is "partial 16S ribosomal RNA". It matches the Rfam family "Bacterial small subunit ribosomal RNA", at positions 524 to 776 of the family's 1533-position model. The record is from RNAcentral.